CUGUGAGCAAGGGGGCACAAAGAGCGGGGUGCUGUGAGCGGGGGGGCACAAAGAGCAGGGUGCUGUGAGCAGGGGGGCACAAAGAGCUGGGUGCUGCAAGUAGGCAGGGAUGCUCUGCUGCCCAGGCACUGAGUGCUGCCUGUGUCCCCUGUGCAUUGGGCCCUGCAGGGAGGGGGGAUGCUGCAGGCGCUGCUCCCCCACAGGCCCCUUGAGUGUGAGGAAUCCAUUGGGAAGAGCUGUUCCCGCAGCAUGGUCCAGGGGGCUGGAGAGGUGAUCCAAGGUGUUCUGGGGGAAGCGGGUGAGCUUUCUGGUAUAGAACCCUUGCAAAGGGGCUUGGGGAAGCACACCGGCCUUCUGCCUUCUGCUGUGGCUGCCCCAUCCCUGCAGUGCUCAGGGCCAGGUUGGACACAGGGGCUUGGAGCUGCUCUAUGGAAGGGGUCCCUGCCCGUGGCAGGGGUUGGGAAUGGAGGAGCUUUAAGGUCCCUUCAUCCCAACGCACUCCAUGCCCAUUGCUGUGUCUCAGGGGGAUGUCCCCCAUCUCUUGCUGGGCUCCCCGUGGUGCAGCUCCUGCUUUGGGGGAGCCGGCACUGACUCGUAUCCCUUCGGUCGCUGCUUUCCCACCCGCAGGAGCACCUGGCGCACAGAUGGAGCCUGGUGUGGAUUGCUCCCUGUGGCACUGUCCCUGGGAGCAGCAGCAGGUGAUUGCUGUGACCUGUGGCCAUGGAGCCGAGUUCCAGCCGUGUCACCUCGGUGUUGUGGGAGAAAGAGGCAUCAGCAGGAUGUAUCCUGAUGGAGCCGCAUCCAGCCUGCCUGGGGCUAGUGAUGUGCAGAUGUGUGUAAGGAUGCUGCAUGGAAGCCUGUUCUGCUGCCAUGGAGGAUCAAACUCCCUGGAGCCAGGACCCAGGAGCUCCUGUUUCCCUGCCAAAUAGUUCAUUAUCCUUACACUUGUAAUUGUAGCCCUGGUAAAUGGAACAUGCGCCUUGUGGUGGUGCUGGAGAUCAGAUAGGGAGGUCAGGGAAUGGUUUGGGAUGAAGGGAGCUUAAAGCCCAUCCAGCUCCAAUCCCCUCAGGAUUGGAGGAAGGGGUUAAGGAAUGG
This 1095-nucleotide long non-coding RNA is filed under the name Amazona collaria (yellow-billed parrot). Its description in RNAcentral is "lncRNA (ENSACOG00000013470.1)". The record is from RNAcentral. Lineage: Eukaryota; Metazoa; Chordata; Aves; Psittaciformes; Psittacidae.